Molecule: ribosomal RNA, 301 nt
Filed under: uncultured bacterium
Lineage: Bacteria
Description: partial 16S ribosomal RNA
Rfam family: Bacterial small subunit ribosomal RNA
Source: RNAcentral
CAGUAGCCGCGGUAAUACGAGGGGGGCAAGCGUUGUUCGGAAUUAUUGGGCGUAAAGGGUGCGUAGGCGGUUCAGCAAGUCUCGUGUGAAAUCUUCGGGCUCAACCCGAAGUCUGCACGGGAAACUACUGGGCUUGAGUAAUGGAGAGGUGAGUGGAAUUUCCGGUGUAGCGGUGAAAUGCGUAGAUAUCGGAAGGAACACCUGUGGCGAAAGCGGCUCACUGGACAUUUACUGACGCUGAUGCACGAAAGCGUGGGGAGCAAACAGGAUUAGAUACCCCCGUAGUCCCUGUCUCUUAUAC